Molecule: transfer RNA, 87 nt
Filed under: Bacteroidota bacterium
Lineage: Bacteria; Pseudomonadati; Bacteroidota
Description: Bacteroidetes bacterium (soil metagenome) tRNA-Leu
Rfam family: tRNA
About the family: Transfer RNA (tRNA) molecules are approximately 80 nucleotides in length. Their secondary structure includes four short double-helical elements and three loops (D, anti-codon, and T loops). Further hydrogen bonds mediate the characteristic L-shaped molecular structure. tRNAs have two regions of fundamental functional importance: the anti-codon, which is responsible for specific mRNA codon recognition, and the 3' end, to which the tRNAs corresponding amino acid is attached (by aminoacyl-tRNA synthetases). tRNAs cope with the degeneracy of the genetic code in two manners: having more than one tRNA (with a specific anti-codon) for a particular amino acid; and 'wobble' base-pairing, i.e. permitting non-standard base-pairing at the 3rd anti-codon position.
Source: RNAcentral
GCCUUUGUGGCGGAAUUGGUAGACGCGCUGGUCUCAAACACCAGUAACUUCACGGUUGUGUCGGUUCGAGUCCGACCGGAGGUACCA